UUGACGUGUGGCCGCCUUUUGGCCAAUAUCUGUUUGGAAAAGUGCUGCUUAACCCAGCAGCUUUCUUAAAAUAUCUGUUGUUGCAAACCACUCGCACUGUGUAUGGGUGAACCCCAAAGAUCUCAGAAAUGAAAGAAAAACAAGGCCAGUUUUGAGGAAGUUUCCAUAACCAGGCGUUAGGGUUAAACAGCUGGGCUCUAACAGCCUCCUCAAAAAGAAAAGGGGCCUCAGCAGCCAUACAAAUAGUUAUUUGAAACAAAUUCGCAGAAAAGCUACCAUUAUUCACACAUCACCAUCUUAAAUUGAGACAUCCGCUGACCAAUGUGACAUCUUUGCUUUGCAAACCAAAGAACUGGGACACUCAGGCUUAGUCUACAGAGAUAAGUUGACAUAAGGCAGCUUACAUUAACCUAGGAAUGUCGCAUCUACACUGCAGUGUUUUUCCCGCUGAUGUCACUUGCCGACUACGUUGACUUAAAACGCCACCUACAUGAGAGGCGUAGUGCUUAAGUCGAUGUAGUUAGGUCGACGCAGCACCCCUGCAGACACUGCGUUGCUUAUGUCAACUGAAUAUAAGCCCCACAACGCCCCACUGUAUAAGUCCCACAAUGCCCCACUGUGACUGCUUUGGUCACCAUUUUGAACUCCGCUGCCCAGCAGCCGGGUACACAGGAAUAAGCCCCUCCCCUAUUGAAGGACUGUAAUUGUUUUGAAUUUCCAUUUCCUGUUUGCUCAGGUGGAGCACUCACCUGGCAACUGCCCAGCUGAGCAGGCCGGCUACUUGCUCCAAACAUGUCCAACCUGUAGUACAGAGAAGGUGGUGGAUCUCCUGAGUCUGUGGGAGAAGAGGCUGUGCAGGCAUAGCUCUGAUCAAGCCAUAGAACUGUGGACAUCUACAAGCAGAUUGCUUGGGGCAUGGGGGAGAAAGGCUACAAGGGGGGCCCGCAGCAGUGCUGCAUGAACAUCAAGGAGUUGCGGCAGGUAUACCAGAAUGCAAGGGAGGCAAGCAGUCACUGCAGACAUGCUGCUUUUACAAGGAGCUGCAUGCUAUCCUCUGCAGUGACACCCCCUUCCCCAAGAGCCCCGGGGAUAUAUCAGAGGAGUCAGAAUCACAGGCCACUGCAGGCAACCCUGGGGAGGAAGUUUUGGACAAGGAAGAGGAGGAUGAGAAUGGGGGACAGGCGAGUGGGGGAAUCCAUUGUUGUGGCGAGCCAGGAGCUGUUUGUAACCCCGGAGCAGUCCAUCCAGUUGCAACACUCCAGCAUGGGCGAGCAUGAUGCGGGGCAAGGAACCUCUGGCUUUACCCUGCUCAUGACUCCUGGACACAUUCCCUUUGGACCUUUGUGAUGAUGGUCCACGUGCUUCCACUUUCUCAGCAACUUUCUGGUGAGGCUUCUGCUCUGCGUUCUCACCUGCUGACAUAAAGAGAGAAACCUCAGAAAGAGAGAUGGAGAAGGGGACAGCAAACCAAAGGUAACACCCGCAAGGUAGUUAUCCAGCACAUCUUGGAGGGACUAUUCAAAUUGAGUGGCCCAUCAAAAGGACACAACUCACAAUGGACCAUGGGAGACCUCAUCUAAACUGAACAGACUUUUAUGUGAACGUUCCAUCUGAAGUAUAGGUAAUGGCUUCUUGCAAUGGCUGAAUGAAAUUGGGCAUGGACGGGGAACUUGCCCAUGUGACUCCAAGAUCCCAACUUUCACCUGUGAUUUUCCACUAGCUGUGCUGAGGACUUUGAAACAAUGAGUUUCCCUCCACAUAGCAGACGCUAUAAGAGGCCUGGAAACAUCUCCACUGUGUCUCUAUCCUGCUCCAGCCUCUUUCCUGCUCAAACCUCUGGACUAUGGACUUAUACUAAUGGGAGCAUUCUA
This is a long non-coding RNA of Trachemys scripta elegans, 1871 nucleotides long. RefSeq lists it as uncharacterized. The transcript has 3 exons. NCBI's taxonomy places the organism in Eukaryota, Metazoa, Chordata, Testudines, Emydidae. The record is from RefSeq and is a predicted model, not a curated record.